GAUGAACGCUGGCGGCGUGCCUAAUACAUGCAAGUCGAGCGAACGGACGAGAAGCUUGCUUCUCUGAUGUUAGCGGCGGACGGGUGAGUAACACGUGGAUAACCUACCUAUAAGACUGGGAUAACUUCGGGAAACCGGAGCUAAUACCGGAUAAUAUUUUGAACCGCAUGGUUCAAAAGUGAAAGACGGUCUUGCUGUCACUUAUAGAUGGAUCCGCCCUGCAUUAGCUAGUUGGUAAGGUAACGGCUUACCAAGGCAACGAUGCAUAGCCGACCUGAGAGGGUGAUCGGCCACUGGAACUGAGACACGGUCCAGACUCCGACGGGAGGCAGCAGUAGGGAAUCUUCCGCAAUGGGCGAAAGCCUGACGGUGCAACGCCGCGUGAGUGAUGAAGGUCUUCGGAUCGUAAAACUCUGUUAUUAGGGAAGAACAUAUGUGUAAGUAACUGUGCACAUCUUGACGGUACCUAAUCAGAAAGCCACGGCUAACUACGUG
This 495-nucleotide ribosomal RNA is filed under the name uncultured bacterium. Its description in RNAcentral is "partial 16S ribosomal RNA". It matches the Rfam family "Bacterial small subunit ribosomal RNA", at positions 28 to 507 of the family's 1533-position model. The record is from RNAcentral.